GCACCCACAAAAGGAUCUGGCAUCCCGAUUGAGAAUCACAGGUCUAUGGAGAGUGCAGUCACAUGUUUGACUUCAAUGCAAACAGACCCUUCUGACAAUAGGCAGAUGUUGAAUUCUUGAAAGAUCAUGUUCUUCAGGAUAACUCCUUCAACAGCACAGGUUUAACAGACAGAUGGAGAAUACAUUGCCAGGA
Long non-coding RNA from Alligator mississippiensis (American alligator), 193 nucleotides. RefSeq lists it as uncharacterized. The transcript has 3 exons. Lineage: Eukaryota; Metazoa; Chordata; Crocodylia; Alligatoridae. The record is from RefSeq and is a predicted model, not a curated record.